RNAcentral lists this long non-coding RNA (1013 nucleotides) under Sphaeramia orbicularis (orbiculate cardinalfish). RNAcentral's name for it is "lncRNA (ENSSORG00005021813.1)". Lineage: Eukaryota; Metazoa; Chordata; Actinopteri; Kurtiformes; Apogonidae. The record is from RNAcentral.
CAUCGUUGGACGGCGGACGUUAAACUGAUGUGGAAGGAAAACUUGUGUUUACGGUUUGCUCCCUCUACUUUUCGUUACCCGUGGUUAUAAACAUGCGCAGCGGUCCGGCGGACAGGACUGCGUGAGGUUUGGAAUCUCCUGAAGAAAAAUGGACCCGAGGUUUGAGGACGAAGUGUCGUCGGUGGUGGAAGCCGCCAUCCAGGCGACCGUGUCCGCCUGCAGGGAGCUCUGGGCCAAAGAGGCGCCAAACACCGCGGACUGGCAGGAGCCCGGACUGGGACAGAUCCAGGACAUAGAGCGGUGUCUGGUCGUUCGGGUCCUCAAGGUGUUCACGGAGUUCUCCGCGGAGCUGUUCGAGGAGAUCGAGUCUCUGAAGGCCAAGGUGGAGCAGCUGGAGGAUGUGCUGCAGAGGAAAGCCGGGCAGCUGGAGCAGGAGCUGGAGGCCCGGGUGGGCCAGCUGGGCAAAGACAUGGAGCAGCUGGAGAAGGAGCUGAAGAGCAUCAGCGACGGCGGCCCCAAGGCGGACGGCGGCCCGGGACACAUCCUGCUGCAGGACGGGGCUCUGCUGGAGGCGGCUGACGAGGACCAGGACUCCACCCCCGUCCUUCCGUCAGAUUCAAUGGUGAGCUCCGAGGUUCUUCUGGGCUCCGACCCUGAACCCACCACGGCUCCACUGGUGUCGGUCAGCAGCGUCAGUCCGGCUUCAGCGUUGCUGCUGGCGGGAAGCAGACCCACUGUGGCCCAGAACAACAGAUCAACACCUGCCGUCUCUGAAAUGACAACAGCCUCCCAGCUCCUCGGCCCGGGGUCACCGGGGUCUCCGCCUCCUGUCGCCCCCAGUCCAGACUCCAGUACGGUUGGCGGUCUGGAUUCAGCACAAGAAAAGAAACCUGUGGAGAAGGCGUCUACACGGAGGACAAAGAGGAAAAGACAAAGUAACAUCAAAGCUGAAAAAGUCAUCUUAUGUUUUCUGCAUUAACCACACCCACUUCAAAUACCCGACCAAUCCAGCA